Molecule: long non-coding RNA, 326 nt
Organism: Vespula vulgaris
Lineage: Eukaryota; Metazoa; Arthropoda; Insecta; Hymenoptera; Vespidae
Exons: 3
Source: RefSeq, a predicted model, not a curated record
UCUUCUGUAUCCGUCGCUCAAUAUCCAAUUCACGUUGCUUAGAUUAAAUACACAUUGAAAGAUUUACGAUCUGAUAGAAAACUGUAUUCUCUAAAUUGUGCGACACUUAUUAACGAGACUUAACGCUUAUUUCUAUAAGAAAUUAUAAAACAGUGCGAAAUUAAUGAAAAGAUUAAUAAUCAUCAUCAGGGGAGGUAUUUUAUCCAUAUCACAGCUCGCACUCACCAUUUGAGUGAUGGUAAGUAAGAAUUUAUAUCGAUGAAUAACUUUUCGAACAUUUGGACCAAACGUACUGAGGAAAUAAUAGGUGUACAUUAUUACGUGAA